UACUAGAGUAGCACUCGCAUAUCAAUAAGCGGAGGAAAAGAAACUAACAAGGAUUCCCCUAGUAACGGCGAGUGAAGCGGGAAGAGCUCAAAUUUGAAAUCUUAAAGGGUUUCCCUUUACGAAUUGUAGUUUAAAGAAGUGUUUUCUGUUGAGGUUUUGGUAAAAGUUCUUUGGAAUAGGACAUCAUAGAGGGUGAGAAUCCCGUAUUUGACCUUUACUUUCAACUUUGUGAUACACUUUCAAAGAGUCGGAUUGUUUGGGAAUGCAGUCCAAAAUGGGUGGUAAAUUUCAUCUAAAGCUAAAUAUUGGCGAGAGACCGAUAGCGAACAAGUACCGUGAGGGAAAGAUGAAAAGAACUUUGAAAAGAGAGUUAAACAGUACGUGAAAUUGUCAGAAGGGAAGCGUUUGACACCAGUGUUGUUUUUCUGAAAAUCAAUUAAAGAACUGUUUAUGCUAAGCUGUUUAGACUUUAUCAGCUAUCUGUUUAGUUUUGAGCUUUUCUUUAAUGCACUUUUCAGUUAACAAGUCAACAUCAAUUUCUUUUGCUGUAAAAAAGCUUGAGGAAGGUGGCUUGAGAUUCGUCUUAAGUGUUCAUAGCCUCUUGCCUAUGCAGUCGGAGAGAUUGAGGUCCGCAGCGUAGAUCCUUCGGGGCUAAAUGCAUUUGUGCUAAGUUAUAGCAUUUUAUAGACAACUUGUUGACUAUGACUUGUCUUGUAGCUUACUCGCUUAUGUUAUUUUACCUACGCUUAGGAUGUUGAGUCAUCACACAUCUCU
RNAcentral lists this ribosomal RNA (774 nucleotides) under uncultured Neocallimastigales. RNAcentral describes it as "partial large subunit ribosomal RNA". It matches the Rfam family "Eukaryotic large subunit ribosomal RNA", at positions 20 to 614 of the family's 3401-position model. Lineage: Eukaryota; Fungi; Neocallimastigomycota; Neocallimastigomycetes; Neocallimastigales. The record is from RNAcentral.